RNAcentral lists this ribosomal RNA (497 nucleotides) under uncultured bacterium. RNAcentral's name for it is "partial 16S ribosomal RNA". It matches the Rfam family "Bacterial small subunit ribosomal RNA", at positions 28 to 507 of the family's 1533-position model. The record is from RNAcentral.
GAUGAACGCUGGCGGCGUGCCUAAUACAUGCAAGUCGAGCGAACGGACGAGAAGCUUGCUUCUCUGAUGUUAGCGGCGGACGGGUGAGUAACACGUGGAUAACCUACCUAUAAGACUGGGAUAACUUCGGGAAACCGGAGCUAAUACCGGAUAAUAUUUUGAACCGCAUGGUUCAAAAGUGAAAGACGGUCUUGCUGUCACUUAUAGAUGGAUCCGCGCUGCAUUAGCUAGUUGGUAAGGUAACGGCUUACCAAGGCAACGAUGCAUAGCCGACCUGAGAGGGUGAUAGGCCACACUGGAACUGAGACACGGUCCAGACUCCUACGGGAGGCAGCAGCAGGGAAUCUUCCGCAAUGGGCGAAAGCCUGACGGAGCAACGCCGCGUGAGUGAUGAAGGUCUUCGGAUCGUAAAACUCUGUUAUUAGGGAAGAACAUAUGUGUAAGUAACUGUGCACAUCUUGACGGUACCUAAUCAGAAAGCCACGGCUAACUACGUG